AUUGAACGCUGGCGGCAGGCCUAACACAUGCAAGUCGAACGGUAACAGGAAGCAUCUUGCUGCUUUGCUGACGAGUGGCGGACGGGUGAGUAAUGUCUGGGAAACUGCCCGAUUGAGGGGGAUAACUACUGGAAACGGUAGCUAAUACCGCAUAACGUCGCAAGACCAAAGAGGGGGACCUUAUUGCCGCUUGCCAUCGGAUGUUCCCAGAUGGGAUUAGCUAGUCGGUGGGGUAACGUCUCACCUAGGCGACGAUCCCUAGCUGGUCUGAGAGGAUGACCAGCCACAUUGGAAGUGAGACACGGUCCAGACUCCUACGGGAGGCCGCAGUGGGGAAUAUUGCACAAUGGGCGCAAGCCUGAUGCAGCCAUGCCGCGUGUAUGAAGAAGGCCUUAGGGUUGUAAAGUACGUUCAGCGGGGAGGAAGGGAGUAAAGUUAAUACCUUGGCUCAUUGACGUUAACCGCAGAAGAAGCACCGGCUAACUACGUG
This 490-nucleotide ribosomal RNA is filed under the name uncultured bacterium. Its description in RNAcentral is "partial 16S ribosomal RNA". It matches the Rfam family "Bacterial small subunit ribosomal RNA", at positions 30 to 507 of the family's 1533-position model. The record is from RNAcentral.